GGAUCUCUAUCUGGAGAUCACUCCCCUUGGAGUCUUUCUACGAGCCUAGGACAUGGAUGUAUGUGAAGAUACUCAGAGAAAAUUAUGAGAAAAGAAUUCACUCACAAUUCAUCUGAAAUGAACUGAGGUGAAGGAUACGCCAGCUGGAAAUGGGGAUAUGGAUGUGAAACAAGGAGGAUGCUAAAGUCUAUAUGAUUACAAUUUGAAUCAGUCUGAGAAGAAAGCAAGCUCUGAUUGAAAGUCUGGCAGACUUCUGUAAAGAAGACACAUUUUUCUGCUAAAAAGAAAACAUGUGAAGGAGUGAGGAAAAUCCUGAACGACAUCUGAAAUGCACGCAGCAAGUUAGACCAUGACAGGAGAUGGCUGGGGGACAGCUGUCACAGUCUGGAUUUGAUCAAUUCUUUCCCCGCACCCACUGCGCUCAAGGGGUAAGGCUAGCCAGACUGGCAUCAGCACAUGGCUGCCAUGCAGAGAGACAACGGAGGGUAACAUCCCAGCAGAGUUACCAACACAACCAAAUAAGCAGGUUGCCAGGAAUCCUGAUGAGGACAGGCCUACAGCUGUUUAAAAAACCAUAAGCAUCCAUUUGGCUGUGGCAAGUACUUUUACAGGAGAACUCCUCUUAGGGAAACAUGGUAGUAGACAAGAAGCUCUUCAAAUUCUAGAUGCAGUUUUUGUGCAGUGCAUUGGUCAGCAGUUUAACUGAGGUGGUCGCUCUCAUCAUUAAACCACCUCAGUUACCACAGCCACAAUCUGAACAAGGAAAAACUGUGCAGUGACUGUUCUUCUCUUAUGAUUCCUCCACAACAAGACACCAGGAUAAUCUGUACUGUAACUACUCCAAAAGUAGCAGAAAUAGAGAAAACACCCUAGGUCUACACUGCAAAAACAAGAACCACCAAGGAGUCAGGUUUGGCCAGCCUCCUACUGCUGCAGCAGUGCACAGUUUCACUUUAUUCACUACCUUCUAAGUAAAAUUCUACAUUUUUAAUAAGCAACCAGUUUUUUUAUAUGCAAAUAUGAAUAUCCAAGAGAUUAUAAAAUCUCUUACUGAAUGGGCAUUCCAUGGUAAAGGUGCAGAAGAAAACAAUAUGACAUGCAAGAAGAAUGAGCAAAAGGAGUUUUUUGCAUGUGAUACAACACUGAAGUUGUAUGCUUAUGAAAUGCAUGACUUGGAGCUAAUUAAAAUCUACAUUCCAAAAAAAGUCAGGCUCUGUUUACAGUUUUUAUAAAAUUACUCUUUCAUCAAGAAUGUAUUUUACUGUCCACGUAAACAUGAAAGCGGAUGUUUUUUUUUCAAAAAGAGAACAAGAAUAUUCUACAGAGUUGCAGUUGUAUUGGAGAACAUCCACUUUCCAUUAGCUUGUUCGCUGACUGGCAGGCAAGAGUUUAGAGAAUGAAGCACUGCCAGCACCAUUUCCUGUAAAAAAUGUAAUUCUGCCCAUUAUUAACAUCUGAUUUAUUAGGAAAAAAAAAGGGCCCUAAAAUAAUCUUCCUCUGUAGUAUCUUAUCCAUGAAACCAUUCUACGAACACAGUAGUACAAUGCUCAGAUCUAGGAUCAAAAGCACACCAACAGGCAACACCCUGAAUUACAUCAUAUCUUGCACAUUUGAAGAAACUCAGAAAGUUUUUGCAUUAGCAGACUAUAAGGACUUACUAGCACAGAUUAAUUUGUAUCUAGCUAUAAUUUCUUCCAUGCACUCUCCAGUACAUGGCCACCAAGACGAGUAGGGGUCUGCAGGAAGCACACGAGGAGGGGCCAGGUCAGCUGCAUCACAUCACCCUGCUGCCAGUAGGGAGGCUGCUGAAAAGACAGAAACAGCCUUCUCCAAGAUGCAAAUGCCAAGGCAGGAGGCAACAGCCGUAUGCCAGAAUAUGCAAAAAAAAAAAAACCCAGCUGGGCAUAAAGACACUUAUGUAUUUAUUUUUGUUAACAGGAAGAUGGUCAAGCACUGGAGCAAAGCCCAGUACGGCUGUGCAGCCUCCUUCACUAGAGAUGCUCUAACCUCAGGACAGGCCCUGUGUAACUCAAUUUUACUGGGCACAGCUUGUGCAGGAGUUUGAGGCUGGAAAAGCUCCACAGGUCCCUCCCAACUCACAUGACUCCAUGAUUUGUGACACUUGGCAGGGAGUUGGACAAGUAAGUAAAGCAAAAUGUCUGGAAAGAUGCAGUAGUCUCUGGGAUUGCCUCUCUUAAUCAGCUUCUUAUGUAUUUAUAAUCUUUGGAAGAGGAGCACAAUCAUUCUUAAGUUGAACCCAAGCCAUUCUAUCACAGCGAGCUCCCAGAGUGCAUGUCCUGAUUUACAGUCACGUCAGUCAGAACAAUCCUCUGUUGAAAAUCUGGAGACUUUCCCCUUUAGCCUCUCACCACUCCUAGCUCAUAUUCCUUAGCCUUGUACCUUUCCCUCUCCUUCCCACCAGACAUGUCACCUUUUCUUCCUUCUCCCUUCUUCUGCUCCCAUCUUCAAAAUGCUCCUUUUUGGCACAUGGAAGGGAGCUAAAGCAGCAGCAGCGUGGAGGGCUGAUGGGUGUCAGCCCCGAGGUGCAACAAAAAGGCAAACACUUUCACCUCCGAGAGCCCGUUUCCAGGAGCAAGUACAUCCCAACUCCUCCCAGCUUCCCCGCUUGUAAUGGUGACAUUCCGCUCUCUUCAGGUUAGGAUGUAAAACACUCUGAAUUGGCUGAUGGGGGCUGCUUGGGAAACAAAUGCUGUCUGAAUGUUAAUUCUGUUUUCUCCUGGAAAAGGACACGGGCCAAGACAGAAUUCAAAGCUGCAGUUGCAUUUGUAUCACUCAUGCAAGGAAUGCACAAAAGCUAUCCAAACAAUGAGAUAAAUCCACACUACUGAAUAUACUUUCAUCUUUUUUCAGUUUGUUUUCCAACUCAAGCAAGAUGUCCACAGAUUUUUUUUAAAUGAAAAUUUAAUAUCAACAUGAGAACCAAUGUAGUGUUCACCUAGCAAUCUGUGAACAAUAUUAUCUGUAACAAAGCAAAGGGAACGGAACUUACAACAUCCCCUAAAAAUGCUCUAAAAAUAUCUGCUAGCUUUACUGAAAGAAAAAAAUAUUUUAGCUUCAGUAGCAGAGGUCUGUGUUUUUAGAGGAAAGGGUCCAGAGGAAAAUUACAUAUUUGUGGUUAAGCUGGGAGUCAUGAUGUCUAUGCAUACGUAUAACAUGUGGUUGCAGAUUCAUAAUACACAAGCCCUUCAAACAAAAAAAAUGUAGGUUUUCAAAGAUUAGUCUGUAAAAAGAGUAAUUCAUUUUAAUCAGUCUUAUUUCUAUGGUUCUUGAAGUCAGCAGUGCAACGAUGAGGCUCUUCCUUCCACUAAGCAUACACAGACAAUAAGCAGAAUGCAAAUCAAAUGGGAAGUGCAGCAGCUCUCCCAGCACAGACCCCCUGCAGCAGGUUCCUCAAGAGAGAUGUUAAAACUCCACUUCUUCUUUCUGUGGAUUAGUCUAUUUUACAUUUUAAAUGACUAGCUAUGCAAGGAUAGCUGACUUUAUGCAAAGAAAACAUACUUAGAAAAGGCUGGAUACAUUACGAAAAUAAUUUUCAUGUGUUUAAGAAGAUGUAUAAAACUAACUAUAAGCAGGCAAGGAAACUCCUUCACGGUCUGGUUCUCGCUUGAUUUGUACUUUAUUAUUACCUGUUUUGGUGCAAAUUAUGUAUAUAUCUUCUAAGGUUAAAAAAAUGACAACAUUUGUGGACAGUCUUGGUGAAGCCUUGUUUCCACAGCACAUUAUUGAGCUAGAAUAAUCUUGUCCUCCAUUUAAAGGAAAGAAAAUAGUCUAGUAUGGCAAAAAGUAACAUUAUUGCUGGUGCUAAAGAACAUUUUUAUGUUCCACAGUAACCCAGAAGAGUAAAACCAAAAGACUCAAUGGCGCUCUUAACAGAAUAAAAGAAUUAUUCUUUAACUGAAAUAGAAAUAAAAGGUGCAACAGCUAAUAAAUUUGCCUUUACAGUUCAUUGCUUUGGCAUUCAGACAAACAACAUUAUCUGAUACUUGGUAUGUUUAAAGUUUCUGAAAGAAGUAAUAAUAAUGAAAGAAAUUCCACACAGGCUUUUCCCCAACAAAUUCUUACGGCAUCACAGGUGAAAACCCUCAGUCUCUUCAUCUUAAAUACUGACUUUACAUUCCCAACUACUUCAACUAUUUGAAGAAAUCAAAUGCUUGUAAGGAACUGCUGAGAUAAAAAGACUGCAGAAAAGUCAGUUGCAAUGAAAAAUAUCAAGGUCCCUUGUGAGACUGAAGUAGGCAGGAAUGCACAACAGUGCAUUUAAUUUCACAAAUAGCUGUCACAAAAACAUCUUCUGUAUUCUACUGAUGCACUUUUGCCUACAUCCUGUAGACACAGUUGAGCGUGAACACUGUAUCUGUGUUUCUUUUUAAUAAUAUGAACUAAACUGGCUUUUACAUUAAGUAUAAAGUCAUGUAAUAUUUCUGGUUUAUUUGGUUUCUUUAUGUUUUAACUCACUCAAGGGCUGUGGUUUACCUUAUAUGUCACAAAAAUUAUAAAUUAAUAAAAUUACAUGCAAGAGA
Molecule: long non-coding RNA, 4541 nt
Organism: Gallus gallus (chicken)
Lineage: Eukaryota; Metazoa; Chordata; Aves; Galliformes; Phasianidae
Exons: 3
Source: RefSeq, a predicted model, not a curated record